GACGAACGCUGGCGGCGUGCUUAACACAUGCAAGUCGAGCGGUAAGGCUCCUUCGGGAGUACACGAGCGGCGAACGGGUGAGUAACACGUGAGCAAUCUGCCCUUCACACGGGGAUAACCCUCGGAAACGAGAGCUAAUACCCGAUACGACCACUUCAGGCAUCUGAUGGUGGUGGAAAGUUCCGGCGGUGAAGGAUGAGCUCGCGGCCUAUCAGCUUGUUGGUGGGGUAACGGCCCACCAAGGCAACGACGGGCAGCCGGCCUGAGAGGGUGACCGGCAGCACUGGGACUGAGACACGGCCCAGACUCCUACGGGAGGCAGCAGUGGGGAAUAUUGGACAAUGGGCGAAAGCCUGAUUCAGCAACGCCGCGUGAGGGAUGACGGCCUUCGGGUUGUAAACCUCUUUCAGCAGGGACGAAGCGCAAGUGACGGUACCUGCAGAAGAAGCACCGGCCAACUACGUGCCAGCCGCCGCCGUAA
This 481-nucleotide ribosomal RNA is filed under the name uncultured bacterium. RNAcentral describes it as "partial 16S ribosomal RNA". It matches the Rfam family "Bacterial small subunit ribosomal RNA", at positions 28 to 523 of the family's 1533-position model. The record is from RNAcentral.